AAAAAAACGGAUGAAGUGCAUGUGCUUGUGAUGGAGGGAGAUUCAGUCACUCUUCACACUGAUCACUGGAAAUUACAGUAAGACCUGUACUGAUGCUCAGUGUGAUGAGAAAUUCAGAGACAGACUGAAGCUGGACAGUCAGACAGAAAGAGAGAAGGAGGAAGAGAAGAGAAAGAAGAUGGAGGAGAAAACGUUUAGAAGUUAAUGUUGUUUUAACUAAACUUUAGGUAACUUCAAACCGUUUAAGCCUUGUUAAUGUUUUACUUCUGUUACUUAAAUGAUUUAAAACUACAUCGGUUGCUUCGAUGUAUUUUAAGUGCAAUUUAGUUUUAUCGUCGAGUUUUUCUUUCUCAACGUGUCGAGUUCGAUCUUCUCAUCGCCUCGUUCUUUAAGACACUCGAGAGCUUCAAUCAGGACUGCAACAAGGUCUUUUGUGAGGUGGAGACAUGGGUCUCUUACUGUUGCAUGAAUACCACAAACUCUCUGAAGCCAGUGAUGACAGCAAUUCCUCAGAUAAGAGCAUUGAACAACCUCCUUUCUUCCAUGGUGAGUAAA
Long non-coding RNA from Labeo rohita (rohu), 555 nucleotides. RefSeq lists it as uncharacterized. The record is from RefSeq and is a predicted model, not a curated record. The transcript is spliced from 5 exons. Lineage: Eukaryota; Metazoa; Chordata; Actinopteri; Cypriniformes; Cyprinidae.